This 469-nucleotide ribosomal RNA is filed under the name uncultured eukaryote. RNAcentral describes it as "bacterial SSU rRNA". It matches the Rfam family "Eukaryotic small subunit ribosomal RNA", at positions 369 to 794 of the family's 1831-position model. The record is from RNAcentral.
AUUAGGGUUUGAUUCCGGAGAAGGAGCAUGAGAAACGGCUACUAUUUCUAAGGAAAGCAGCAGGCGCGCAAAUUAUUCAAUGGAAACAAUUUUCCGAAAUAGUGACAAAAAUAUCAAUGCUGGAUACUAUGUAUCUAGUAAUUGGAAUGAGUACAAUUUAAAUCCCUUAACAAGUAACAAUUAGAGGGCAAGUCUGGUGCCAGCAGCCGCGGUAAUUCCAGCUCUAAUAGCGUAUAUUAAUAUUGUUGCAGUUAAAAAGCUCGUAGUUGAAAUUUGGGACUUAUUAUAUUGGUUUAUCUUAUGAUGAACUGUAUAAUGGGUUUCUUCCUACUAGAGUUCGAUUCUGUUCUUAAUUGAAUGGAGUAGCUAUCUCUCGGGGUGGUCAAUUGGUUGUUAUAUCUCCACUAAUAAGCAGAGAGGGGUAAAAUUCGUCAAAGUAAGUUAUGUGGUCAAGGUAUGAUGAUUAAUU